This 497-nucleotide ribosomal RNA is filed under the name uncultured bacterium. Its description in RNAcentral is "partial 16S ribosomal RNA". It matches the Rfam family "Bacterial small subunit ribosomal RNA", at positions 28 to 507 of the family's 1533-position model. The record is from RNAcentral.
GACGAACGCUGGCGGCGUGCCUAAUACAUGCAAGUUGAGCGCUGAAGGUUGGUACUUGUACCAACUGGAUGAGCAGCGAACGGGUGAGUAACGCGUGGGGAAUCUGCCUUUGAGCGGGGGACAACAUUUGGAAACGAAUGCUAAUACCGCAUAAAAACUUUAAACACAAGUUUUAAGUUUGAAAGAUGCAAUUGCAUCACUCAAAGAUGAUCCCGCGUUGUAUUAGCUAGUUGGUGAGGUAAAGGCUCACCAAGGCGAUGAUACAUAGCCGACCUGAGAGGGUGAUCGGCCACAUUGGGACUGAGACACGGCCCAAACUCCUACGGGAGGCAGCAGUAGGGAAUCUUCGGCAAUGGACGAAAGUCUGAUCGAGCAACGCCGCGUGAGUGAAGAAGGGUUUCGGAUCGUAAAACUCUGUUGGUAGAGAAGAACGUUGGUGAGAGUGGAAAGCUCAUCAAGUGACGGUAACUACCCAGAAAGGGACGGCUAACUACGUG